RNAcentral lists this non-coding RNA (27 nucleotides) under Rattus norvegicus (Norway rat). Lineage: Eukaryota; Metazoa; Chordata; Mammalia; Rodentia; Muridae. The record is from RNAcentral.
UCCUGAAUAAAUUUUCAGGCGGUCUAC